UGGGGAAUAUUGCACAAUGGGGGAAACCCUGAUGCAGCAACGCCGUGUGAGUGAUGAAGGUUUUCGGAUCGUAAAGCUCUGUCUUUGGGGAAGAUAAUGACGGUACCCAAGGAGGAAGCCACGGCUAACUACGUGCCAGCAGCCGCGGUAAUACGUAGGUAGCAAGCGUUAUCCGGAUUUACUGGGCGUAAAGGGAGCGUAGGCGGAUUUUUAAGUGAGAUGUGAAAUACCCGGGCUCAACUUGGGUGCUGCAUUUCAAACUGGAAGUCUAGAGUGCAGGAGAGGAGAGUGGAAUUCCUAGUGUAGCGGUGAAAUGCGUAGAGAUUAGGAAGAACACCAGUGGCGAAGGCGACUCUCUGGACUGUAACUGACGCUGAGGCUCGAAAGCGUGGGGAGCAAACAGG
RNAcentral lists this ribosomal RNA (404 nucleotides) under Clostridium sp. RNAcentral's name for it is "bacterial SSU rRNA". It matches the Rfam family "Bacterial small subunit ribosomal RNA", at positions 355 to 776 of the family's 1533-position model. The record is from RNAcentral. Lineage: Bacteria; Bacillati; Bacillota; Clostridia; Eubacteriales; Clostridiaceae.